AGAAAGCGGAAAAGGAUACAUCAAAACUAGCAAUGGAUGAAUGAGAACAUGUCCAGCCUCCAGUUAAGGCAACUGUGGCUUCAAAAAGGAAUCUUAAAUACCAGCACAGAAAUCAGAGGGAUCCUAACCUGGCUCAAAACAGAAGAGAAACAGUGGCUGGCCAUACAGCAGGACGGGCAUAACUAACAGAAUACCAGCUUUCCAGCCAUUGUUUCAUCCCUCAGCGAUACCACCUGCUUCCGCGUGGAACCCAAACCCCCAGGAAACUAAAUCUGCUCAGGUCACCCACCUAGGAAUAAAUAAAAACAGGUUUCAGGCCCUUUGUCCUUUGUAAAUUCCGCCUUUUUUUUUUUUUUAAGGCCUGUGUUCUUUAUCACGGACACUGUUCACAUAGUGGUAAUCCUUGCCUGACUCAGAUCUACUUGUUCCUGCGUUUCAUUCCUCCGCUGCUCAAUUACUUGUUCAAAACGCAAAGGACAACUGGUAGUGAAGACCCU
This 497-nucleotide long non-coding RNA is filed under the name Homo sapiens (human). RNAcentral describes it as "HSALNT0351784". The record is from RNAcentral. Lineage: Eukaryota; Metazoa; Chordata; Mammalia; Primates; Hominidae.